CGUCCCUCUAGUUUUAACCCUGCAGCUGAAAACAUAGCAGUUUCAGAUUAACUGCUAUGUUUCACUGAGGGUUAAUCCAGCCUCUAGUGGCUGUCGCACUGACAGCCGCUAGAGGAGCACACUGAACGUUCAUAGGAAAGCAUUGAGUAAUGCUUUCCUAUGGGCGGUUUGAAUGCGUGCGCGGUCGCAUUCGGAGCUGAGAGGCUGAGGGAUCCUCAGCGCCAAGGGAGUCCGGCGCUGGAGAAAGGUAAGUGCUGAAGACACACACACACACUUACAGAUGCAUACACACUAGCUAUCAGACACACACAUUUACUGACAGAGACACAGUCAGCGACAGACAUACAUACACACUCACUUACAAAACAUACACUCACUAACAGACAUCAAACAGACUCACUAACACACACACACUCUCAGUAAGACACACACAGUAACACACUCACUAACACACACACACUCACACUCACACUCACUCUAACUAGCAGACACACACACUUACUCUAACACUCACACUCACACUAACUAGCAGACACACACACACACACUAACACUCACUCUAACACUCACACUCACUAGCAGACACACACACUAACACUCACACUAACACUCACUAGCAGACACACACACACUAACACUCACUCUAACACUCACACUAACACUCACUAGCAGACACACACACACACACACUAACACUCACUCACUAGCAGAUACACACACACUAACACUCACUAGCAGACACACAC
Non-coding RNA from Pelobates cultripes (western spadefoot toad), 746 nucleotides. Lineage: Eukaryota; Metazoa; Chordata; Amphibia; Anura; Pelobatidae. The record is from the annotation of a GenBank genome assembly.